This 253-nucleotide ribosomal RNA is filed under the name uncultured bacterium. RNAcentral describes it as "partial 16S ribosomal RNA". It matches the Rfam family "Bacterial small subunit ribosomal RNA", at positions 524 to 776 of the family's 1533-position model. The record is from RNAcentral.
UACGGAGGGUGCAAGCGUUAUCCGGAUUUACUGGGUUUAAAGGGUGCGCAGGCGGUCUAUUAAGUCAGUGGUGAAAGCCCGGGGCUCAACUCCGGAAUUGCCAUUGAAACUGAUAGACUUGAGUAUGGAAGAGGUAGGCGGAAUACAGCAUGUAGCGGUGAAAUGCAUAGAUAUGCUGUAGAACACCAAUUGCGAAGGCAGCUUACUAUACCAUUACUGACGUUCAGGCACGAAAGCGUGGGGAGCGAACAGG